AUACCCAAUGAUAUCUCUAGAAGACAUCUGAAAGAGAUUAAAGAUUUAUCGGUGAUGGAUGGGGAUGCGUCUGAUUAGCUUGUUGGCGGGGUAACGGCCCACCAAGGCGACGAUCAGUAGGGGUUCUGAGAGGAAGGUCCCCCACAUUGGAACUGAGACACGGUCCAAACUCCUACGGGAGGCAGCAGUGAGGAAUAUUGGUCAAUGGACGAGAGUCUGAACCAGCCAAGUAGCGUGCAGGAUGACGGCCCUAUGGGUUGUAAACUGCUUUUAUAAGGGAAUAAAGUGAGCCUCGUGAGGCUUUUUGCGUGUACCUUAUGAAUAAGGACCGGCUAAUUCCGUGCCAGCAGCCGCGGUAAUACGGAAGGUCCGGGCGUUAUCCGGAUUUAUUGGGUUUAAAGGGAGCGUAGGCCGGAGAUUAAGCGUGUUGUGAAAUGUAGACGCUCAACGUCUGCACUGCAGCGCGAACUGGUUUCCUUGAGUACGCACAAAGUGGGCGGAAUUCGUGGUGUAGCGGUGAAAUGCUUAGAUAUCACGAAGAACUCCGAUUGCGAAGGCAGCUCACUGGAGCGCAACUGACGCUGAAGCUCGAAAGUGCGGGUAUCGAACAGGAUUAGAUACCCUGGUAGUCCGCACGGUAAACGAUGGAUGCCCGCUGUUGGUCUGAAUAGGUCAGCGGCCAAGCGAAAGCAUUAAGCAUCCCACCUGGGGAGUACGCCGGCAACGGUGCAACUCAAAGGAAUUGACGG
RNAcentral lists this ribosomal RNA (749 nucleotides) under uncultured Bacteroidota bacterium. RNAcentral describes it as "bacterial SSU rRNA". It matches the Rfam family "Bacterial small subunit ribosomal RNA", at positions 166 to 916 of the family's 1533-position model. The record is from RNAcentral. Lineage: Bacteria; Pseudomonadati; Bacteroidota.